RNAcentral lists this transfer RNA (72 nucleotides) under Camelus dromedarius (Arabian camel). It matches the Rfam family "tRNA". Rfam says of the family: Transfer RNA (tRNA) molecules are approximately 80 nucleotides in length. Lineage: Eukaryota; Metazoa; Chordata; Mammalia; Artiodactyla; Camelidae. The record is from Rfam by way of RNAcentral. RNAcentral also lists the same sequence under 1 other name.
GAGGGUAUAGCUCAGUGGUAGGGCACGUGCUUAGCAUGCCCAAGGUCCUGGGUUCAAUACCCAGUACCACCA